RNAcentral lists this transfer RNA (76 nucleotides) under Ignavibacteriales bacterium. RNAcentral describes it as "tRNA-Gly". It matches the Rfam family "tRNA". From Rfam's summary of the family: Transfer RNA (tRNA) molecules are approximately 80 nucleotides in length. Lineage: Bacteria; Pseudomonadati; Ignavibacteriota; Ignavibacteria; Ignavibacteriales. The record is from RNAcentral.
GCGGGUGUAGCUCAGUUGGUAGAGCAUUAGCUUCCCAAGCUAAGGGUCGCGGGUUCGAACCCCGUCACCCGCUCAA